UGGGGAAUAUUGCACAAUGGGCGAAAGCCUGAUGCAGCAACGCCGCGUGAGGGAUGACGGCCUUCGGGUUGUAAACCUCUUUUAGUAGGGAAGAAGCGAAAGUGACGGUACCUGCAGAAAAAGCACCGGCUAACUACGUGCCAGCAGCCGCGGUAAUACGUAGGGUGCAAGCGUUGUCCGGAAUUAUUGGGCGUAAAGAGCUCGUAGGCGGUUUGUCGCGUCUGCUGUGAAAUCCCGAGGCUCGACCUCGGGUCUGCAGUGGGUACGGGCAGACUAGAGUGUGGUAGGGGAGAUUGGAAUUCCUGGUGUAGCGGUGGAAUGCGCAGAUAUCAGGAGGAACACCGAUGGCGAAGGCAGAUCUCUGGGCCAUUACUGACGCUGAGGAGCGAAAGCAUGGGGAGCGAACA
Molecule: ribosomal RNA, 407 nt
Filed under: uncultured bacterium
Lineage: Bacteria
Description: partial 16S ribosomal RNA
Rfam family: Bacterial small subunit ribosomal RNA
Source: RNAcentral